Molecule: long non-coding RNA, 247 nt
Filed under: Lathyrus oleraceus (garden pea)
Lineage: Eukaryota; Viridiplantae; Streptophyta; Magnoliopsida; Fabales; Fabaceae
Description: Pisum sativum (pea) long non-coding RNA (PSAT_LNC027968)
Source: RNAcentral
GCGAGUGGUUUAGUUGACCAAGGCGUAUGGUGGGAGCACAUCUCUGGAGCGUAUGAUCUGCCAGCUCAAUUAAUGAGCUCAGAUCUAACGCUCCUUGUUUUUUUUUUUUUUUCUAAUUUUAUUUUCUUUAAUUCCAAUUAUUUUCAAAAAUCAAUAUCUCUCUCAUUUUUAAUCCAAAAAUUAUGGGACCAAUUGCAUUAGUCUCCAAAUAAAUUCUAGUUUCUAUUUCUGAUUUUUAAUAUUUUUU